GCGAGAAAACUUUGCAAUGUGCGAAAGCACGACAAGGUUAAUCCGAGUGGUUUCUGCUAAAGAAACCUUUUGUCAGUCCUAGAAACACUAACGAAUAAGGGGUGGGCAAGUUCUGGUGUCAGCCGCCGCGGUAAAACCAGCACCUCAAGUGGUCAGGAUGAUUAUUGGGCCUAAAGCAUCCGUAGCUCGUUUUGUAAGUUUUCGGUUAAAUCCAUGCGCUUAACGUAUGGGCUGCCGGGAAUACUGCAUAACUAGGAAGUGGGAGAGGUAGACGGUACUCGGUAGGAAGGGGUAAAAUCCUUUGAUCUAUUGAUGACCACCUGUGGCGAAGGCGGUCUACCAGAACACGUUCGACGGUGAGGGAUGAAAGCUGGGGGAGCAAACCGGAUUAGAUACCCACGUAGUCCCUGAGCGGGCUGGCAAGGCGCAU
RNAcentral lists this ribosomal RNA (430 nucleotides) under uncultured bacterium. RNAcentral describes it as "bacterial SSU rRNA". It matches the Rfam family "Archaeal small subunit ribosomal RNA", at positions 339 to 776 of the family's 1478-position model. The record is from RNAcentral.